CCCGCAGCUCCCCGGGGCGGGGCGCGGUGCCGCUCCAUCCAACGCGACGCAGCGCCCGCCGCCCCCUCGGGUGCCAUUCCCGCCUCGGCGCCGGAACGCUUCCGUGGCCACCGCCUUUGAGCGGGCCGGGAGAGGGAGACCCCAUUUCCCGGAAACAGAGCCGUUGGUGAAGAUCCCUGCUUCUCCUUCGACAGACGUUCCGUCUGCACGAGGCGGCGACAAAGGCCGGCGAUGGACCGCGAUGGGCCGGACGCCGUUCGGCAGGAGGCAGAGGUGGAGCGUGGCCGCUACCUGAGCCGCCGCGCCGUGGCCCAGGAGCAGCUGGCGCAAAUAAAGGAGCACAAGGAUCAAGCAGAUCUGGCUAAGCUGGAAAAGAGAAGAGAAGGGGAACGAAUACAACAAUCAAGCCAAUUGUACCAACUGGAAAUUCAGAGAGAUAAAGAGAAGGAUCAGGAGAAAAAAGUUGAAUUCCAAAGGCACCAUCAUGAAUAUGUAGCUGAACAGAAAAUAUUUAAAGCUGAAGAGAAACAAAAAGAAGACAAAGAUGAUGAUCGGAUUAAGGCUUAUAUUAAGGAAAAAGAAAUGAUGGCUGAUCUGACAAGAGAAAAAAAUGCAGAGACUAACAGGAUGAUAGAGAAGCAUAAAGACAAAGCUUUUGAACAAUUAAAUGCACAGAUGAAUGAGAAAUUUAAGAUUGAAGAUGAUCGUCUUGCUAGAGGAGCUGCAGAGGUAGAACUUGAGUACCAAAUAAAAAAUAAAGAGAAAGAAAUGAAAAAAAAGGCUGUCCUUGAAUCCAUUGAAGAAAACAGAGUCACUGUGAUGAAGUUGAAAGAGGAAAAGGAGAGACAGGAGAAAGAAGAGGAUGAGAAGGAUCGUAAUCAGUGGAUGACAGAAAAUGACGUCUACUUGGAAAUGGAAAAAGCCAAGAAACAAAGACAGCGUGAUGCAAACAUGGAAAUACAGAAAUUUCAGCUCCAGCAAAUGGCUGAAAAGCAGGCAAGAAAAGAGCAGGAAAAGCAAGCAGAAUUGGACUACAAUGCUCAGAGAGAGGCUGCUUUCCAUGGGGAUCGAGCAUUUCGGAGAUAAAGGCACAAGCAGAAAGAAUGGAAACUUUUCUAAAAGCCUUUUGAUGGCAGAAGCUGGAGCCUUAAGAAGUAUUGACUACAGCAGGAGUGGUGCUGAAACCUGCAGAGCUCAGUAAUGCUCCAAAUGAAUCCCUAAGUGCAAAUUUGCACAUGCUCACUACUAUGCAAUUGAAACACAUUUAACCACUACAGAAGCAUCUACAAAGGAGUAAGAAGCUAGCCACUCACUCCUUCCAAGUUCUGUAUGCCUGCAAAACCAAUCAGUGCCCAAGAGCAGAAGCUAACUGUGGACCAAGUUACAAGACAUGCUAUUUGCUGCAACCUGCCUAUAAUGCAAGCUCAAGAAACAAGUGCCAUAGCUUGCAACUGUACUUGAACUAGUCUAACUUUAUUAUGGAACAAAGCAGUAUUCUUUUCAGAAAGUCAAGUGGUAACAGCCAAAGGUAAACUAUCAGUUCAUCUGUACUGUACUCCUUGAAUAUUCCUGGGCCUCCAAGCUUAACUCAAACCUUCUGUUUUGACUUGAAAAAAAAUCUUACUCAACAAAUAGAAUUGGAUACAUCUGUGUGUAACAAUACAAUUCAUGUUGACUGUACCUUUUUUUGGUGACAGUUUUCUACUUACUUUUACUUUGGAGAAUGCAAUGAAAGGUAGAAACAGUAUCUUGAGAAGUUGUGGCAUUGUCUGAGUCUUUUAAUCCUUUAUGGGAGAUGUCUGCAGCAAGACUGCAUCCAGCACUCCAGCUACCCUGACUACAGGAAAUGGGAAAAACACUUUCCUGUCAUGUCCUAAGCACUCUGCGGCCAACCAGCCGGGCUGUGAUGCUGCUGUAGGUGACUUUUUGAUUAAAAGUUGCUUUUUCACUCAGUUCCAAAGUGACUGUAAGCUGUGUUCAUUCCAUUUAUGUUCAGACUGAGCAAACAGUUCUUUAGGGAAAACUAUGCUGCUUCACAUUCAGACACACACACACGACUUGUAUUUUUUUCAAGUAAAAGCCCAUAGUUGGCAACAAGCAGAGUUUGCAAUUAGACACUAGGCCAGCUUCAUUACAUAGCUGCAUUUUUACAUGUUACAAUAUAAACAUAAUAGACUGUCAUUUGCCAUUCUGUUGUAGAAAUCCUUAA
RNA transcript from Camarhynchus parvulus, 2209 nucleotides. It is a transcript of the gene named coiled-coil domain-containing protein 173-like, with no coding region annotated. Lineage: Eukaryota; Metazoa; Chordata; Aves; Passeriformes; Thraupidae. The transcript is spliced from 8 exons. The record is from RefSeq and is a predicted model, not a curated record.